RNAcentral lists this ribosomal RNA (163 nucleotides) under uncultured bacterium. RNAcentral's name for it is "partial 16S ribosomal RNA". It matches the Rfam family "Bacterial small subunit ribosomal RNA", at positions 355 to 511 of the family's 1533-position model. The record is from RNAcentral.
UAGGGAAUCUUCCACAAUGGGCGAAAGCCUGAUGGAGCAACGCCGCGUGUGUGAUGAAGGCUUUCGGGUCGUAAAGCACUGUUGUAUGGGAAGAACAGCUAGAAUAAGAAUGAUUUUAGUUUGACGGUACCAUACCAGAAAGGGACGGCUAAAUACGUGCCAA